AUUGAACGCUGGCGGCAUGCUUUACACAUGCAAGUCGAACGGUAACAGGCCGCACGUUGCUGACGAGUGGCGAACGGGUGAGUAAUGCAUCGGAACGUGCCCAGUCGUGGUGGAUAUCUACUCGCUAGAGUAGCUAAUACCGCAUACGAUCUAUGGUUGAAAGCGGCGGACUGCAAUGCUUCGCGAGAUUGGUGCUGUCACUGUCAGAUUAGCUAGUUGGUGGGGUAAAGGCUCACCAAGCCAACGAUUUGUAGCUGGUCUGAGAGGACGACACGCCACACUGGAACUGAGACACGGCCCAGACUCCUACGGGAGGCAGCAGUGGGGAAUUUUGGACAAUGGGCGCAAGCCUGAUCCAGCAAUGCCGCGUGCAGGAAGAAGGCCUUCGGGUUGUAAACUGCUUUUGUACGGAACGAAACGGCUCUGGUUAAUACCCGGAGCUAAUGACGGUACCGUAAGAAUAAGCACCGGCUAACUACGUG
RNAcentral lists this ribosomal RNA (482 nucleotides) under uncultured bacterium. RNAcentral's name for it is "partial 16S ribosomal RNA". It matches the Rfam family "Bacterial small subunit ribosomal RNA", at positions 30 to 507 of the family's 1533-position model. The record is from RNAcentral.